ACAGCAGCAGCCACGGGAAUACGUAGGGUGCGAGCGUUAAUCGGAAUUACUGGGCGUAAAGCGUGCGCAGGCGGUUUUGUAAGACAGGCGUGAAAUCCCCGGGCUCAACCUGGGAAUGGCGCUUAUGACUGCAAAGCUAGAGUGCGGCAGAGGGGGAUGGGAUUCCGCGUGUAGCAGUGAAAUGCGUAGAUAUGCGGAGGAACACCGAUGGCGAAGGCAAUCCCCUGGGCCUGCACUGACGCUCAUGCACGAAAGCGUGGGGAGCAAACAGGAUUAGAUACCCCGGUAGUCCCUGUCUCUUAUAC
Molecule: ribosomal RNA, 305 nt
Filed under: uncultured bacterium
Lineage: Bacteria
Description: partial 16S ribosomal RNA
Rfam family: Bacterial small subunit ribosomal RNA
Source: RNAcentral